Molecule: ribosomal RNA, 406 nt
Filed under: uncultured bacterium
Lineage: Bacteria
Description: partial 16S ribosomal RNA
Rfam family: Bacterial small subunit ribosomal RNA
Source: RNAcentral
AUUGAACGCUGGCGGCAGGCCUAACACAUGCAAGUCGAACGAGUGGCGGACGGGUGAGUAAUGUCUGGGAAACUGCCCGAUGGAGGGGGAUAACUACUGGAAACGGUAGCUAAUACCGCAUACCCUCGGAUGUGCCCAGAUGGGAUUAGCUAGUAGGUGGGGUAACGGCUCACCUGGGCGACGAUCCCUAGCUGGUCUGAGAGGAUGACCAGCAAAACUGGACCGGGGAAACGGCCCAGACUCUUCCGGGAGGCAGCAGUGGGGAAUAUUGGAAAAUGGGGGCAAGCCUGAUGCAGCCAUGCCGCGUGUAUGAAGAAGGCCUUCGGGUGGUAAAGUACGUUCAGCGGGGAGGCGUUACUCGCAGAAGAAGCACCGGCUAACUACGUGCCAGCAGCCGCGGUAAUUC